RNAcentral lists this ribosomal RNA (253 nucleotides) under uncultured bacterium. Its description in RNAcentral is "partial 16S ribosomal RNA". It matches the Rfam family "Bacterial small subunit ribosomal RNA", at positions 524 to 776 of the family's 1533-position model. The record is from RNAcentral.
UACGAAGGUGGCAAGCGUUGUUCGGAUUUACUGGGCGUACAGGGAGCGUAGGCGGUUGGAUAAGCCCUCCGUGAAAUCUCCAGGCUUAACCUGGAAAGUGCAGAGGGGACUGUUCAGCUAGAGGAUGGGAGAGGAGCGCGGAAUUCCCAGUGUAGCGGUGAAAUGCGUAGAUAUUGGGAGGAACACCGGUGGCGAAGGCGGCCCCCUGGACCGGUACUGACGCUGAGGCGCGAAAGCGUGGGUAGCAAACGGG